GAGUUUGAUCGUGGCUCAGAUUGAACGCUGGCGGCAUGCCUUACACAUGCAAGUCGAACGGCAGCAUGAUCUAGCUUGCUAGAUUGAUGGCGAGUGGCGAACGGGUGAGUAAUACAUCGGAACGUGCCCUGUAGUGGGGGAUAACUAGUCGAAAGAUUAGCUAAUACCGCAUACGACCUGAGGGUGAAAGUGGGGGACCGCAAGGCCUCAUGCUAUAGGAGCGGCCGAUGUCUGAUUAGCUAGUUGGUGGGGUAAAGGCCCACCAAGGCGACGAUCAGUAGCUGGUCUGAGAGGACGAUCAGCCACACUGGGACUGAGACACGGCCCAGACUCCUACGGGAGGCAGCAGUGGGGAAUUUUGGACAAUGGGCGAAAGCCUGAUCCAGCAAUGCCGCGUGUGUG
RNAcentral lists this ribosomal RNA (402 nucleotides) under uncultured microorganism. RNAcentral's name for it is "bacterial SSU rRNA". It matches the Rfam family "Bacterial small subunit ribosomal RNA", at positions 9 to 407 of the family's 1533-position model. The record is from RNAcentral.